CUGGCGCGUGCGCGGCGUCGGAGCAAGCGGCCCCUUCCUUCGGCCCCGCCCAGCCCCGCCGGCCGCCCGCUCCCUGGGGAACCGAGGGAGGAAUGGGCGGGGUCCUCAGGUGCCCGGCGACGUCAUCCAGCCCCCAAGGCUCCAGGACGCAAAGGGUCCCCUGAUCUGGCAGUCCCUGGACCUACCCUGGAGAGCGUGGGGGGACAAAGGCCGGACGCGCCGCCCGCUGCCGCCUCCAGGAAGCCCUCCCUUGCCAGGACAGUGGAGUUGGCCGGCUGAACAGGAAAAGGAACAGUCCUUCCAAAGUGCCUACGGAAAGCUUUGUCCCAUCCUUGAAAAAUUGCUAAUGGGUUUGGAGAUACGAGGUGGAGAUGACUAGCAAUCAAACUCAAAGGUGGAAGUCACAUCGAGGCAGAUGAGCAGAUGAGGGGACCUAGAGAAGAAGAGAGGUGCAAGGAGAGCCCAGCCAGCAGGAACAUCUGCCCCAGUAGGCAGCACUGCCCCACAUCAGAGUCGAGGAAAGCAAAGCUCGGAUUGGAUAAAAGAAACUUGCAAACACGGUCAGUGCUUACUGCAUGUGGGCUCAGAGCACGUUACCCUCCUUCCCUGCAUGUUCCUGUGAAACGGGUUUACUGCUCUAACUCUCAGGGACACUGUGAAGACCAAACGAGAAAAUAGAAACAAACAUAAUUUAUAAACCAUAAAGUACUGACACCAAAAGAGGGGCGAGCACAGCAUUGUGAAUGUGCUGGUACUAAAUGGUUUGUUUUAAGAUGAUUUUAUGGUGUGUGAAUUUCACUUGAAUAAAUUUUUUUAAUGGAGUUCA
This 826-nucleotide long non-coding RNA is filed under the name Homo sapiens (human). RNAcentral describes it as "HSALNT0350544". Lineage: Eukaryota; Metazoa; Chordata; Mammalia; Primates; Hominidae. The record is from RNAcentral.